UACGUAGGCGGCAAGCGUUGUCCGGAUUUAUUGGGCGUAAAGCGCGCGUAGGCGGCGCGGUAUGUCGUGCGUGAAAUCUCCCGGCUUAACUGGGAGGGGCCGUGCGAAACUGCCGGGCUUGAGGUCGGAAGGGGAAAGUGGAAUUCCGGGUGUAGUGGUGGAAUACGUAGAUAUCCGGAGGAACACCAGCGGCGAAGGCGGCUUUCUGGUCCGAUACUGACGCUGAGGUGCGAAAGCGUGGGGAGCGAUCCGG
This 253-nucleotide ribosomal RNA is filed under the name uncultured bacterium. Its description in RNAcentral is "partial 16S ribosomal RNA". It matches the Rfam family "Bacterial small subunit ribosomal RNA", at positions 524 to 776 of the family's 1533-position model. The record is from RNAcentral.